Molecule: ribosomal RNA, 253 nt
Filed under: uncultured bacterium
Lineage: Bacteria
Description: partial 16S ribosomal RNA
Rfam family: Bacterial small subunit ribosomal RNA
Source: RNAcentral
UACGGGGGGGGCAAGCGUUGUUCGGAAUUACUGGGCGUAAAGGGCUUGUAGGUGGCCAACUAAGUCAGACGUGAAAUCCCUCAGCUUAACUGGGGAACUGCGUCUGAUACUGAGUGGCUUGAGUGCAGGAGAGGAAUGCGGAAUUCCAGGUGUAGCGGUGAAAUGCGUAGAUAUCAGGAGGAACACCGGUGGCGAAGGCGGGAUCCUGGGCCAGUACUGACGCUGAGGAGCGAAAGCGUGGGGAGCAAACAGG